RNAcentral lists this ribosomal RNA (305 nucleotides) under uncultured bacterium. RNAcentral describes it as "bacterial SSU rRNA". It matches the Rfam family "Bacterial small subunit ribosomal RNA", at positions 337 to 634 of the family's 1533-position model. The record is from RNAcentral.
GCCUACGGGGGGCAGCAGUGGGGAAUAUUGCGCAAUGGGCGAAAGCCUGACGCAGCGACGCUGCGUGAGGGAUGGAGGUCUUCGGAUCGUAAACCUCUGUCAGCAGGGAAGAACGGUCACUGUGCUAAUCAGCAGUGAAUUGACGGUACCUGCAAAGGAAGCACCGGCUAACUCCGUGCCAGCAGCCGCGGUAAUACGGAGGGUGCGAGCGUUAAUCGGAAUUACUGGGCGUAAAGCGCUCGUAGGCGGUAUGUCAAGUCAAGGGUGAAAUCCCCGCGCGCAACGUGGGAACUGCCUUUGAAACU